This 253-nucleotide ribosomal RNA is filed under the name uncultured bacterium. RNAcentral describes it as "partial 16S ribosomal RNA". It matches the Rfam family "Bacterial small subunit ribosomal RNA", at positions 524 to 776 of the family's 1533-position model. The record is from RNAcentral.
UACAGAGACUGCAAGCGUUAUUCGGAUUCACUGGGCGUAAAGGGUGCGCAGGCGGCCAAGUGGGGGAGGCGUGAAAGCCUGGAGCUUAACUCCAGAAUUGCACCUCAAACUACAUGGCUAGAGCAUUGGAGAGGGUAGCAGAAUUCACGGUGUAGCAGUGAAAUGCGUAGAUAUCGUGAGGAAUACCAGAGGCGAAGGCGGCUACCUGGACAAUUGCUGACGCUCAGGCACGAAAGCGUGGGGAGCAAAAGGG